UGAGUUAAAGUUCUCUGGGUUGAACGUUUAGUUGUUAAUUAAAAUUUUGCAGGAUCGAGGCCCGCUUAGCU
Molecule: transfer RNA, 71 nt
Filed under: Paroedura homalorhina
Lineage: Eukaryota; Metazoa; Chordata; Lepidosauria; Squamata; Gekkonidae
Description: tRNA-Asn
Source: RNAcentral